CAAUGGCGUAUAUUAAAGUUGUUGCAGUUAAAAAGCUCGUAGUUGGAUUUCUGGUUGAAGCGACCGGUCGGGCGUUGAUUCGUCUGCACUGGAGUCGGUUUUGGCCAUCCUCUAGGAAAGUGCGUCUGGUAUUAAGUUAUCGGGCGUAUGAUCCUGGUCUUUUACUGUGAAAAAAUUAGAGUGUUUAAAGCAGGCCUUCGCCUUGAAUACAUUAGCAUGGAAUAAUAAGAUAGGACUUUGGUCUAUUUUGUUGGUUUGCAGACCGAAGUAAUGAUUAAUAGGGAUAGUUGGGGGUAUUUAUAUUCCGAUGUCAGAGGUGAAAUUCUUAGAUUUUCGGAAGAUAAACUUAUGCGAAAGCAUUUACCAAGGAUGUUUUCAUUAA
This 382-nucleotide ribosomal RNA is filed under the name uncultured eukaryote. Its description in RNAcentral is "partial 18S ribosomal RNA". It matches the Rfam family "Eukaryotic small subunit ribosomal RNA", at positions 592 to 976 of the family's 1831-position model. The record is from RNAcentral.